GAGGGGCGCCGGGUGCGGGGUAGCUGAGAGAGCCAGAGAGGAGGAGUGAGGGAGCAGAGGGUUGGGAUUUGAAAAUGGGAGCUGGGGGGCGUCGACGGAGGGGCUCGAGGAGUAGGGGAGGUGAGGGAGCUGCGGCGGAAGAGGGUUGGUAACCGUGGAGGAUCCUCUCUAGGCGCGCCACCCCACCGGCCCCUCACACGCAGCAGGUCUCUCUGUUCCGCCGAGGGUUCGUCUCCCAGGUCGUCGCGACCGAACAGGAGAAGAUGCGGCUGCGACGGGUGGGGAGGAGUAGGGCACGCCCGCGCCUCCACUCUAAGAGGCCGCAGCCGCCACUGGACGUCAGUUUCCCGUUGACGCUGCCGCGAGCAAAGGUAUACGUCUUCUCUCUCUUCUACUCUCCCUCUCUCUUCCUUCCUGUCCUUCCUAUUUCUGUCUCUUUUCUCCUCUCCCUCCACGUCGCCGCCUGUACUCUCCCGGUGGCCUUGCUAGUGGCGGCCGAGCAGUAGUAUGUGUAGCGCGACCUCUUUCUCCUCUCCCUCCACGCCGCCGCCUGCCCUCUCCCAGUGGCGUUCCUCGAGACGUCCGAGCACCAGCAAGUGUGCCGCGACCCCGUCUCUAAGAAGACAUGUUGGGAGUGCGGGCGUCCUACGACUCCUUUAGGAGCUUCCGUAUUUCUAGUGUGCCUGUGAAGGAAAAAUUUCCAAAAAGAAGCGGCGACUACCGUUCGAGGAAAGAACGAUUAACACUAUAGAAAACAUGUACCGGAGAGUCGUCUCAUUCUUUUAUCUGGACGCUACAAAGAAAGACUAAAAGAACGUCAAAAGUCCCCUAUAAAACCCGAAGAUCUAACUAACAAAGUACUUCGUAAUAUCUAGUCUGGUAGUCUAACUACACAUCAAAUAUCAAUUCAUAGUUCACCCACACCCCGUUAGAAUAAAUGGGUUCAUCGGUACAAACUGUUUAGUGGUAGGUCAAACAACAUACCCACUAAGACUACGUGUUCACCUUGUUACUUCUUAUUACUAAGAGGAAUAUAUUAAUGUACUAAUUAAUUUGGAGUCAAGGAGUACAAAUGAAGCGCCCUGACUUUUCUAAACAUGCUUAAAUAGUUAGUACACAGUCGGAAGUAAACGUAGAGUAGGAGUUUCCUUACCCUAUACUAAAUUAAGGUAAUCGUUUAAUAAGACCAAUGUGAAGUUCGAACCCAGUCAUAAAAAAUAACACAUCUAUUGUUGUGCACCUGGAGGAAGUCUCAGUACUCUUCCUUUUGAAACCCAAUUAGUAAAUAAGACCUAAACACUAAAUACUAGAAGUUCAGUUCCUACAGCUCAAGAGGACGAACGAGACCAAACUCGGAAGAUACGAGAUAAACCGGACAUUGAACACAACGGAAUAACCAUUUCUAAAUUUAAUGCGAAGAUAUCUGAUAAAAUAAAAGAACCUCUUCUAAUACAAGUAACAAAAUACCCAACUAGAUAAACAGUAAACAUGGAGCCAACUGCCUUGUAGACUAUAAACUUUGGUACUUAAUCCCUAGUAUCACAAUAAUCUCUUAUACAUUGAGCCCUUGUCGCUGUUCAAUAAAUCAACAACCAGUACUGCUAUGUGACCAACUCUGCUAUUUAGAAAUAAGUGGUUACGGGUGAUAAUAAUCCUAGACGAAACGUUUUUAUUCAAGAGGGUAUUAGAAAAAUGUCUUAGGUAUUCUUUGUUCAACACACUAUCUCGACAAUGAGGCGUCCGGUCUUACUUCAAAGAUAUACGGGAUGGUAUGAGUGUAUUAAAGACAAGAUUAACCCAAAGACGUGGUACCCACGUUGCCCUGUAGCCCAAGGAAAGAUAACAUUUAGAAGUGGUUCAACGGUAAACAAAAACACCUCUAUGUUUGGUCUACAUACUGGUACUCACUUCCUUACGAUAAGUUUCAAACCAUGAAGACAAAUUCAUAAUAAAUACUAAUUCAGACAUAAUCGAAUUGUCUGUUUUACAUACCCUAACUAAAACUGCUCCGUUCAACAAGGAAAGAACCGAAGAACCAGGACAAAUAAGUACAAAAGGAUGGUAUCGAAGGUAAAAAGACGGAGUUGAUAAUAAACUAACCAAGGUCCUGGGCUUUAGUUACCAAUAACUUGUUUAAUUAAUAGUGAGGCGACUCCAACUUCCACUAGUGUGGAACUAACGACCACUACUAUACUAAGUCAGUUCUACACUACUACCGUCGAAACACCCACUCUCGUACAUACUACUACCGUCGAACCAUGUUUCCUCGACAGCUCGGUUGAAAGGACAUAAAGCGUGUACUCGACUUUCUCCAGUUCACGAUUAGGGUAACAUACGUUUUUAUAUACGCUGACAGUUAUAAAAAGGAUACCAGAUACCAACAUUACAACCACAACAUUCUACAACUCGCAGAAACUUUGGAAGGCUUAAGACCCUAAAAGAAAGAUAACCAUUGCAACUUUAUUCACACCGAGUCACAGCGAUACACAACCAUUUGGGGAGUCGGAAAAUGAGUGUUAGUCUAUAAGACUUUCUUCUCUCGAGGAAUGGACAGUAG
This 2557-nucleotide ribosomal RNA is filed under the name Triticum aestivum (bread wheat). Its description in RNAcentral is "partial small subunit ribosomal RNA". Lineage: Eukaryota; Viridiplantae; Streptophyta; Magnoliopsida; Poales; Poaceae. The record is from RNAcentral.